AUGGGGGAAAGCAUGAUCCAGCCAUGCCGCGUGAGUGAAGAAGGCCUUCGGGUUGUAAAGCUCUUUCAGCCGGAACGAAAUAGUUACAGCUAAUACCUGUGACUUCUGACGGUACCGGAAGAAGAAGCACCGGCUAACUACGUGCCAGCAGCCGCGGUAAUACGUAGGGUGCGAGCGUUAAUCGGAAUUACUGGGCGUAAAGCGUGCGCAGGCGGUUUUGUAAGUCAGAUGUGAAAUCCCCGGGCUUAACCUGGGAACUGCGUUUGAAACUACAAAGCUAGAGUACGGCAGAGGGGGGUGGAAUUCCGCGUGUAGCAGUGAAAUGCGUAGAUAUGCGGAGGAACACCGAUGGCGAAGGCAUCCCCCUGCGCUAGCACUGACGCUCAUGCACGAAAGC
This 397-nucleotide ribosomal RNA is filed under the name uncultured Nitrosospira sp. RNAcentral describes it as "bacterial SSU rRNA". It matches the Rfam family "Bacterial small subunit ribosomal RNA", at positions 371 to 760 of the family's 1533-position model. Lineage: Bacteria; Pseudomonadati; Pseudomonadota; Betaproteobacteria; Nitrosomonadales; Nitrosomonadaceae. The record is from RNAcentral.